This is a non-coding RNA of Oryza sativa Japonica Group (Japanese rice), 1381 nucleotides long. The record is from RefSeq and is a predicted model, not a curated record. Lineage: Eukaryota; Viridiplantae; Streptophyta; Magnoliopsida; Poales; Poaceae.
UUGCCGCUGCAGGUGUCCAUCGCUCCUCCUGACCUAGCGCCGCCGGCCGCCACCAUGACGACCUCCCCCUUCGCAGCGCUGCACCGGCUCCUCGGCUGCCGCCUCGAUCUGCAGUGCGCGAUACCUCCUCAUCACCAAGAACGGAAGGUAUCCAUCUAUUCAUCCCACACCUAAAUUCCCCUCGUUUUGAGUCACACCCUAAAUUUCUAGCAUAACUGGAAGAUAAUUUUUGUGCUAGUACAACUUUGUUUCUAACAAAAGAAAAGAUUCGCCUAUGUACUGGAUGCUUCGUCUAUGUGCUUGAUGUUGCUUGCAUGUAGCGAUGCUAGUAGGUUAGAAUUAUCACAGUCCAUGCCUUUUGGAUUCAGUUUCAAAGAGUAAAUGCUGAUUACUUUCAGGAUUUUCCUUUUGGAUUUAGUUUAACAUUUACAUUUCUCAUGUGUUUUCUUUCCUUGCUUAUAUGAUAGUGUCGUAGUUGGCUCAAUUACCUUUGUCGAUAGAGAUCAGAUUAUGGUGUAAAAGGAAUGAAGUUCUGAUAGUUGUUCUCAAUUGAUCUGAACAGGAAAUACCUGCAUUUUUUAGUUACAGUUGUUUGGUUCUUCUUUCCUUUGGUUCCAAGAGUGUACAGGUUUGAAAAUGUGGCCUAGGAAGACCUUCCAUCUCCUUCAAUUUCUUGUUUUUGUCAUUCAGGGAGAAACCUGAAAAGCUGAAACAUAGUGUAUGGAUUCAAUCUUUGUUUUCGUGUUGAGUUCUACUGCUUCUUGCUGACACAAAUGGUACAUCAUGACUAUAUGAUGUUAAAGUGCAGAAUAUAAUCCAUUUUAUUAGUGCAGAUGCCAGAAGCUGCUGAGUGGAAUGAUGAGAACACUAGAUUUUAUAUAUCUGUGAACCCUCGCCGUGGCACGACACUCCUUGACAUUUCCCUUGUAGGUGCAGCAGCGCCGCCCAGUGCCCCACUGGGUACAAUGGUCACAUGCUUGUUAACUCGUCCCUCUGGUGGUUCACAAGUAGUUUCUCUUUUCUUUUCAAAAAUCUAUAUAGAUAUGCUAUAGAUUUUACUGACAGUGACCAGCUCAGCAAGCACGCAAAGGGGAGUUAGCAAAGCUUUUGUAGGAUCUAGAAGAAAUGGAUGGGGUUCAAUCCUGAUAAUUGAGAUGGUGGCAAAGCAUUCCACAUUCCUUAAGCAAAGUUUCAGGGCUCACAACAAGCAUGAAACAAGCCAAGAGCUGUACAACCUUUAGUUGAAGACUACUAUAAAACUAUAUAGCUCUCUUGUAGUUGUACGGAAAUUUAAUUAGAUUAUGUACAUACAUUUCCAAUUAUGUAACAAAUGAGUUAAAUUAUUUGCAUUUGAUCAAUAAAGAUUUGUUAAUAAUUUUCA